CCCAGAGCUGUUGUUGGCUAUCUUGACCGAAGCUGCGAGUGGAUUAUUUGGAGUGUCGAUAAGAUGAUCUAUGGAUACUUAGAAUAUAGAAUAGAUUUGGGCGCCCAAGGCUCCCAGCUUGACUCCUUAAACUUAGCAGUAGUUAAGUUAUGCCCUAAAGUAUGUUCGCCUUCGAUACUUUUGCAGCAACAUGUUUGAAAUUGCUUGAGGGUUUGGCGAGGGGUAUUCACUGUGGUUUGCAUUACCUUGAGCAGGGGAAAGAAGGGGAGAAAUAAGAUGAAGGGCCGAAACUGGAAGAGAGUGAGAAUGGAUGAUAAUAUCAAAAUCACAAUGUCAUCGAUGAUUUGCAGA
RNAcentral lists this small RNA (351 nucleotides) under Histoplasma capsulatum. RNAcentral describes it as "hypothetical RNA". Lineage: Eukaryota; Fungi; Ascomycota; Eurotiomycetes; Onygenales; Ajellomycetaceae. The record is from RNAcentral. RNAcentral also lists the same sequence under 1 other name.